Molecule: long non-coding RNA, 127 nt
Organism: Haliotis rubra (blacklip abalone)
Lineage: Eukaryota; Metazoa; Mollusca; Gastropoda; Lepetellida; Haliotidae
Exons: 3
Source: RefSeq, a predicted model, not a curated record
UUGACAUGAAACAUUUACUGGGAUGAGUAUGCGGCAAUGUUUAAAUCAAAAUGAUUACAAUCGUCCAAGCUUGGGCGUCCAGUGUGAUUACUUGUCCAACUCAGAAUUUUACAGACUUAAAAUUGCU